UACGGAGGGUGCAAGCGUUGCUCGGAAUUACUGGGCGUAAAGGGCGUGUAGGCGGUCUCGUAUGUCUGUCGUGAAAGCCCCGGGCUUACCCCGGGAAGUGCGAUGGAAACUGCGAGACUAGAGUCCCGGAGAGGAAGGUGGAAUUCCAGGUGUAGCGGUGAAAUGCGUAGAUAUCUGGAAGAACACCGGUGGCGAAGGCGGCCUUCUGGACGGUGACUGACGCUGAGACGCGAAAGCGUGGGGAG
This 245-nucleotide ribosomal RNA is filed under the name uncultured bacterium. Its description in RNAcentral is "partial 16S ribosomal RNA". It matches the Rfam family "Bacterial small subunit ribosomal RNA", at positions 524 to 768 of the family's 1533-position model. The record is from RNAcentral.